ACGAAAGUUCCAAACUUAAAGAACGUGGCGGUGUUCUACAACCUUYUUAGGGGAUCCUGUGGCUUAAUUCGAUAAUCCACGACCAAUAAAGCUUUACUAGUUCACAGCUUAUGUAUGGCCGUAUUAUGUCUGCAUAUUAAUAUAACAAUAGGAGACAAUUAAAGAAAUUUCCUUGAUAAUUCAGGUGACAUAUAGCCAAUGUAAAGCAGCUCAUGGGAUACAAAUAAAUAUACUACCAGUAACUAAUUUGAAAUUUUUACAAAAGGAGGACUUAAAAGUAAGUUUAAAACAMCACUUUAAACUGAAUAAGAUCUAGAACGCGUACAAAUCGCCCGUCACUCCCGGCACUAAUUGGGAUAAGUCGUAACAAGGUAGGGGUAA
Molecule: ribosomal RNA, 381 nt
Filed under: Pyganodon grandis (giant floater mussel)
Lineage: Eukaryota; Metazoa; Mollusca; Bivalvia; Unionida; Unionidae
Description: partial 12S ribosomal RNA
Rfam family: Bacterial small subunit ribosomal RNA
Source: RNAcentral